Long non-coding RNA from Myotis daubentonii (Daubenton's bat), 226 nucleotides. RefSeq lists it as uncharacterized. The transcript is spliced from 3 exons. NCBI's taxonomy places the organism in Eukaryota, Metazoa, Chordata, Mammalia, Chiroptera, Vespertilionidae. The record is from RefSeq and is a predicted model, not a curated record.
GCGCGCUCCGCGUCGGCUGCGCUCCCGGGACGGACCGGCCGGCGCGGUGGGCGCUGGGCCCGACGCCGACGGGGCCCUGACGGCCCGGCGGACGCGCGGAGCGCAAGGGCGGCGGCAUGCCCGAGCGGCGGCUCACCGCGGAGCCACCAACUCUGACAGAAGCAGACUUUGAAGAUUCUUUGGCAACAGAUAAUUUCCUUGUGGACUACUUUAAUGAAUUCCUAAG